GAUGAACGCGGCGGCGUGCUUAACACAUGCAAGUCGAACGGGAUCCCGGGGGUUCGCUUCCGGGUGAGAGUGGCGAACGGGUGAGUAAUGCGUGACCGACCUGCCCCAUACACCGGAAUAGCUCCUGGAAACGGGUGGUAAUGCCGGAUGCUCCGGUUGGAUGCAUGUCCUUCCGGGAAAGAUUCUAUCGGUAUGGGAUGGGGUCGCGUCCUAUCAGCUUGAUGGCGGGGUAACGGCCCACCAUGGCUUCGACGGGUAGCCGGCCUGAGAGGGCGACCGGCCACAUUGGGACUGAGGUACGGCCCAGACUCCUACGGGAGGCAGCAGUGGGGAAUAUUGCACAAUGGGCGCAAGCCUGAUGCAGCGACGCCGCGUGCGGGAUGGAGGCCUUCGGGUUGUAAACCGCUUUUGAUCGGGAGCAAGCCCUUCGGGGUGAGU
Molecule: ribosomal RNA, 438 nt
Filed under: Bifidobacterium dentium
Lineage: Bacteria; Bacillati; Actinomycetota; Actinomycetes; Bifidobacteriales; Bifidobacteriaceae
Description: bacterial SSU rRNA
Rfam family: Bacterial small subunit ribosomal RNA
Source: RNAcentral